This 274-nucleotide ribosomal RNA is filed under the name uncultured bacterium. RNAcentral's name for it is "partial 16S ribosomal RNA". It matches the Rfam family "Bacterial small subunit ribosomal RNA", at positions 523 to 796 of the family's 1533-position model. The record is from RNAcentral.
AUACAGAGGGUGCAAGCGUUAAUCGGAAUUACUGGGCGUAAAGCGCGCGUAGGUGGUUUGUUAAGUUGGAUGUGAAAGCCCCGGGCUCAACCUGGGAACUGCAUCCAAAACUGGCAAGCUAGAGUACGGUAGAGGGUGGUGGAAUUUCCUGUGUAGCGGUGAAAUGCGUAGAUAUAGGAAGGAACACCAGUGGCGAAGGCGACCACCUGGACUGAUACUGACACUGAGGUGCGAAAGCGUGGGGAGCAAACAGGAUUAGAAACCCUAGUAGUCC